UUGCAUUUGUUUUCAUAACAAUACUAUCAACUACUAUUUUUGCAAAUUUAAAAUACCAAGCCACUUUGUGUACUGCCUUUUUUUCCUUUGUAUACUAUAAAGUCCCCUCUAUAAAUUGUUCCUUGUGGGUUUGGUGUUGCUUUAGAAUAUUGCUGGUGGAGGUCCCUAGUCUCAGAUAGAUGGUGGUUUCCAACAUUUUUGUUGGUUGAAUGACUUGUUGCACUUCAAAACUGUAAAAUGAAAUAUUUUAAUAUAUGUUGCUACUGCUACAAUAUUGAACUACUAGCAUUGCGACUAAUUUUUCUCCCAUGUGUGUUUCUUUACAGGUUCAGUGCUGAGUUGAUCUUCAUUACCUUAAAAUAUUUGGUAGAAGAAAGAAAAGAUGGAAAAAGGGAAAGAAAGUGUGUGUCACACCUAGUUGAUUUGUGUCUUUGGGUGAAAAUAAAGUUUGUAGUAGUGAUAACCUCUGUCUGCUCCAAACCAUGAAAUCUUUUUACUACCCUCCCAGUAGUCAUGGACAAUAUCCCCUUUUGUGUGGCACCAUGCAAAGAAGAUGAAAGAUGGUUUCUGCUGUAAAGAACUUUUAAUCUAAAUAAAAAGUAAGAGACAAGGACACAAUGAGACAAUGUCAGCAAA
Molecule: non-coding RNA, 636 nt
Organism: Sturnus vulgaris (Common starling)
Lineage: Eukaryota; Metazoa; Chordata; Aves; Passeriformes; Sturnidae
Source: RefSeq, a predicted model, not a curated record